GCGGCUUAACACAUGCAAGUCGAGGGGUAGGGGCUUUCGGGCCUUGAGACCGGCGCACGGGUGCGUAACGCGUAUGCAAUCUGCCUUUCACAGAGGGAUAGCCCAGAGAAAUUUGGAUUAAUACCUCAUAGCAUAACCAAACCGCAUGGUUUGAUUAUUAAAGUCACAACGGUGAAAGAUGAGCAUGCGUCCCAUUAGCUAGUUGGUAAGGUAACGGCUUACCAAGGCGACGAUGGGUAGGGGUCCUGAGAGGGAGAUCCCCCACACUGGUACUGAGACACGGACCAGACUCCUACGGGAGGCAGCAGUGAGGAAUAUUGGUCAAUGGACGCAAGUCUGAACCAGCCAUGCCGCGUGCAGGAUGACGGUCCUAUGGAUUGUAAACUGCUUUUGCACAGGAAGAAACACUCCGACGUGUCGGAGCUUGACGGUACUGUGAGAAUAAGGAUCGGCUAACUCCGUGCCAGCAGCCGCGGUAAUACGGAGGGAUCCAAGCGUUAUCCGGAAUCAUUGGGUUUAAAGGGUCCGUAGGCGGUCUUGUAAGUCAGUGGUGAAAGCCCAUCGCUCAACGGUGGAACGGCCAUUGAUACUGCAGGACUUGAAUUAUUGGGAAGUAACUAGAAUAUGUAGUGUAGCGGUGAAAUGCUUAGAGAUUACAUGGAAUACCAAUUGCGAAGG
Molecule: ribosomal RNA, 678 nt
Filed under: Flavobacterium sp.
Lineage: Bacteria; Pseudomonadati; Bacteroidota; Flavobacteriia; Flavobacteriales; Flavobacteriaceae
Description: bacterial SSU rRNA
Rfam family: Bacterial small subunit ribosomal RNA
Source: RNAcentral